RNAcentral lists this ribosomal RNA (520 nucleotides) under uncultured Glomus. RNAcentral's name for it is "SSU rRNA". It matches the Rfam family "Eukaryotic small subunit ribosomal RNA", at positions 569 to 1092 of the family's 1831-position model. The record is from RNAcentral. Lineage: Eukaryota; Fungi; Glomeromycota; Glomeromycetes; Glomerales; Glomeraceae.
AGCAGCCGCGGUAAUUCCAGCUCCAAUAGCGUAUAUUAAAGUUGUUGCAGUUAAAAAGCUCGUAGUUGAAUUUCGGGAUCAAUUUAUUGGUCGUGCUAUUGUACGUACUGGUAUAAUCGGUUUCUCCUUUCUGACGAACUAUAAUGCCAUUAAUUUGGUGUUUUAGGGAAUCAGGACUGUUACUUUGAAAAAAUUAGAGUGUUUAAAGCAGGCUCACGCUUGAAUACAUUAGCAUGGAAUAACGGAAUAGGACGUUUGAUUCUAUUUUGUUGGUUUCUAGGAUCGACGUAAUGAUUAAUAGGGAUAGUUGGGGGCAUUAGUAUUCAAUUGUCAGAGGUGAAAUUCUUGGAUUUAUUGAAGACUAACUACUGCGAAAGCAUUUGCCAAGGAUGUUUUCAUUAAUCAAGAACGAAAGUUAGGGGAUCGAAGACGAUCAGAUACCGUCGUAGUCUUAACCAUAAACUAUGCCGACUAGGGAUCGGAUGAUGUUAAUUUUUAAUGACUCAUUCGGCGCCUUACG